GGUGGGGACGGGGAGGGUGGCGGGGGAAUGCGUGGGGUGCGAGCGGUGGCCGGAAUGAUUGGGCGUAAAGAGCUUGUAGGCGGGUUGUGGCGUCUGCAGUGAAAAUCCGGGGCUCAACCCCGGACUUGCUGUGGGUACGGGCAGACUAGAGUGUGGUAGGGGAGACCGGAAUUCCUGGUGUAGCGGUGGAAUGCGCAGAUAUCAGGAGGAACACCGAUGGCGAAGGCAGGUCGCUGGGCCACAACUGACGCUGAGAAGCGAAAGCAUGGGGAGCGAACAGGAUUAGAUACCCCAGUAGUC
RNAcentral lists this ribosomal RNA (300 nucleotides) under uncultured Rubritalea sp. RNAcentral's name for it is "bacterial SSU rRNA". The stretch from base 52 to 300 matches the Rfam family "Bacterial small subunit ribosomal RNA", at positions 547 to 795 of the family's 1533-position model. Lineage: Bacteria; Pseudomonadati; Verrucomicrobiota; Verrucomicrobiia; Verrucomicrobiales; Rubritaleaceae. The record is from RNAcentral.